UACGAAGGGGGCUAGCGUUGCUCGGAAUUACUGGGCGUAAAGGGCGCGUAGGCGGCACUGUUAGUCAGGCGUGAAAUUCCUGGGCUCAACCUGGGGACUGCGCUUGAUACGGCAGAGCUAGAGGAUGGAAGAGGCUCGCGGAAUUCCCAGUGUAGAGGUGAAAUUCGUAGAUAUUGGGAAGAACACCGGUGGCGAAGGCGGCGAGCUGGUCCAUUACUGACGCUGAGGCGCGACGGCGUGGGGAGCAAACAGG
This 253-nucleotide ribosomal RNA is filed under the name uncultured bacterium. RNAcentral's name for it is "partial 16S ribosomal RNA". It matches the Rfam family "Bacterial small subunit ribosomal RNA", at positions 524 to 776 of the family's 1533-position model. The record is from RNAcentral.